Molecule: ribosomal RNA, 253 nt
Filed under: uncultured bacterium
Lineage: Bacteria
Description: partial 16S ribosomal RNA
Rfam family: Bacterial small subunit ribosomal RNA
Source: RNAcentral
UACAGAGGGGGCAAGCGUUGUUCGGAAUUACUGGGCGUAAAGGGCGCGUAGGCGGCCUGCUAAGUCGAACGUGAAAUCCCUGGGCUCAACCCAGGAACUGCGUCCGAUACUGGUUGGCUUGAAUCCGGGAGAGGGAUGUGGAAUUCCAGGUGUAGCGGUGAAAUGCGUAGAUAUCUGGAGGAACACCGAUGGCGAAGGCAAUCCCCUGGGCCUGCACUGACGCUCAUGCACGAAAGCGUGGGGCGCAAACAGG